RNAcentral lists this ribosomal RNA (437 nucleotides) under Kalinga ornata. RNAcentral describes it as "partial 16S ribosomal RNA". It matches the Rfam family "Bacterial large subunit ribosomal RNA", at positions 1829 to 2597 of the family's 2925-position model. The record is from RNAcentral. Lineage: Eukaryota; Metazoa; Mollusca; Gastropoda; Nudibranchia; Polyceridae.
AGCUUUAGGCGAAUGAUCUAAAGUUAUACCUGCCCAAUGUAUAAUUAUGAAUGGCCGCGGUACUCUGACCGUGCUAAGGUAGCGCAAUCAAUUGGCUUUUAAUUGGAGUCAGGUAUGAAUGGAGUUACGGGGUUUAACUGUCUCCUAACUAUUAUAUUGAAAUUACUAUGCAGGUGAAAAAGCCUGCAAAAAGAAAAAGGACGAGAAGACCCUUAGAGUUUUACUAAAUUGAAUAUGAGUGUUCGACCAGUUUUGUUGGGGCAACAUAGGAGCAAAAUUAAAUCUCCUGAAUUACAAACCGAUUAUUUUAGAUCUGAAUAAACUACCUUAGGGAUAACAGCAUAAUUUUAUAAAUAAGUUUGUGACCUCGAUGUUGGACUAGGAAACCUAAGGGUUAGCCACCUUUAGGGGAAGUUCUGUUCGAACUGUAAUUCCUA